AAUAUGAAGAUGAAGAGGAUUUGAAGGGCCAAGCGACUCUGACCGUCGCCCCCGGAGUAACUCAGUAGGAGGAAGAAAGUGGUUAGGAGGUGUGUGCGGCUUUACUGCGCUCGCUCGGGAGUACUUUUCCGAGGAGCUGGACCCGAUCAUUGCAGGGGUGAUCGCCCUCUUGUUGUCUGUAUUGGCGUAAAGUAGGUUGGCUUGAUAAACCACCUACAUGUGCUGAUACGACGGUGCAUAGUCUGAUCCUAUGUGCCUGGUGGAUGAUGGGAGGGGGGUCUGGUUACUCGAUGUGGUUGCUCGAGUGGGGGCGAGUUAAAAGGCGAAUCUAGAAUUGGUCUGCCUCUCUGUUUCCUUACCACCUUGGGGUCUCGGAAGAGUGAAGAUGAAGAGAAGAUGAAGAGGAUUUGAAGAUGAAGAGAAGACGAAAAUGAAGAGAAAAGAUGACUGGGGUUGUGGGUCCUGGGUGGGGGCGAGUUUAAAAGGCGAUCCUGAUAUUCAACGUCUGCCUUUCUGUUUUCCUUACCACCUCGGGACUUCGGUCUCGGAAGUGAGAAGAUGAAGAUGAAGAGAAGACGAUGAUGAAGAGAAGAUGAAGAUGAAGAGAAGAUGAAGAUGAGGAUGAAGAUGAAGAGAAGAUGAAGAUGAGGAUGAAGAUGAAGAUGAGGAUGAAGAUGAAGAGAAGAUGAAGAUGAGGAUGAAGAUGAAGAGAAGAUGAAGAUGAGGAUGAAGGUGAAGAUGAGGAUGAAGGUGAAGAGAUGAUGAAGAGAUGAUGAAGAUGAAGAGAUGAUGAAGAUGAGGAUGAAGGUGAAGAGAAGGUGAAGAGAAGAUGAAGAUGAAGAGAAGAUGAAGAUGAAGAGAAUAUGAAGAUGAAGACGAAGAGAAGAUGAAAAUGAAGAGAAAAGACGAGUGGACAGGGUCGACCGGUGGCCGCCUCCCCGUGGGUCCUCGCUGGACGCAGUAGACAGUUCGCUGUUUUGCUGUGACUGAAGGCCACCGGUAUAUAAAUCCUUCCAGACUUGUCCUCUGGGAGGUGGUUUUUCCAAGUGCCCUACUCGAGCUUCGGCUUGGGUACCGUUACUUGGCUAACGAGUUGAACAAGAAAGCAGCAAUGGGUAUGCCUUCGCAUGCCGGUUUUAUGGACCGAAAGGUCUGGGUGGCCACUGCUCCAAAGAUGUCCCUAUCUGCUAUCUAGCGAAACCACAGCCAAGGGAACGGGCUUGGAAAAAUCAGCGGGGAAAGAAGACCCUGUUGAGUUUCACUCUAGUCUGGCUCUGUGAAGAGACAUGAGAGGUGUAGUAUAAGUGGGAGCUUCGGCGACGGUGAAAUACCACUACUUUCAUCGUUUCUUUACUGACUCGGUGAGGCGGAAAGCGGUCUCGGACCGGCAUUCUAGAACCAAGUCCCCACCUCUGGUGGGGGCGAUCCGCUCCGAGGACAGUUUCAGGCGGGGAGCUUGGCUGGGGCGGUACAUCUGUCAAAGGGUAACGCAGGUGUCCUAAGGCGAGCUCAGCGAGGACGGAAACCUCGCGUGGAGUGAAAGGGCAAAAGCUGGCUUGAUCUUGAUUUUCAGUACGAAUACGGACCGCGAAAGCGUGGCCUAUCGAUCCUUUUGAUAUUCGGGGUUUGAAGCAAGAGGUGUCAGAAAAAUUACCAAAGGGAUAACUGGCUUGUGGCGGCCAAGCGUUCAUAGCGACGUCGCUUUUUGAUCCUUCGAUGUCGGCUCUUCCUAUCAUUGCGAAGCAGAAUUCGCCAAGCGUUGGAUUGUUCACCCACCAACAGGUAACGUGAGCUGGGUUUAGACCGUCGUGUGACAGGUUAGUUUUACCCUACUGAUGCGGGUCGUUGCCGUAGUAUUCCUGCUCAGUACGAGAGGAACCGCAGGUACGGACAUUUGGUACGUGCGCUUGGUCGAACGGCCAAUGGCGCGAAGCUACCAUCCGAGGGAUUACGACUGAACGCCUCUAAGUCGGAAUCCCGCCUAUGGAUUGCAACGAUACUGUCGUGUCCCCGUUAUUUCGCGGUGCGAAUAGCGGGCUCCCUCGUGGGGUCCGCGAUCAGACCUUCCCGGGGCGUGCUAGACAGCAACUGGAGCGUUGUUGCCGUCGCGCGUCUCACACUCAACCUGUUUGAGGAAA
RNAcentral lists this ribosomal RNA (2138 nucleotides) under Cordylochernes scorpioides. Its description in RNAcentral is "eukaryotic LSU rRNA". The stretch from base 1097 to 2004 matches the Rfam family "Eukaryotic large subunit ribosomal RNA", at positions 1891 to 3399 of the family's 3401-position model. The record is from RNAcentral. Lineage: Eukaryota; Metazoa; Arthropoda; Arachnida; Pseudoscorpiones; Chernetidae.